UGAAAACGAAGAACCAACAGAAACGGAUAUAAUGGGGCAUAAUGCUGGUCGCACACCAUUCAUAGACAUCUCAAACACAAGCAUUAUAGGUGAUCAAAAUGGAUCAAACUCGCUUGUACCAAUAGUCGAUGCUAAUGAAUGUAAGAGGCAAAGGGAUAAGGAAAGAUAUGCCACGAUGUCCAUUGAACAAAAGAAUGAGAAAAAUAGGAAGCGCCGUGAAGCACGUCAACGAAAUAAAGCACUACCCCUAAAGUCCGAGUCAUCUAGAGAAGACAUUAAUACGAAUCAGACACGUGAGACGGUUAACGUUGAAAUAAGUCGAGAUGUGCAUCUUGGUUCAGGUCCUAUUAAAAACACUCCAUCGCCUGGUAAUUCUAUCGAACGAAAGAGGCAAAGGGAUAGAGAAAGGCGUGCAACAAUGUCGGUUGAACAAAGGAAUGAGUACAAUAACAAGCGUCGUCAAAUGCGUCAACGAAAUAAGGGACAAAAUGUGAUGCCCAAUGUUUCAGG
RNAcentral lists this unclassified non-coding RNA (510 nucleotides) under Zea mays. RNAcentral's name for it is "misc RNA Zm00001eb385830". Lineage: Eukaryota; Viridiplantae; Streptophyta; Magnoliopsida; Poales; Poaceae. The record is from RNAcentral.